RNAcentral lists this ribosomal RNA (669 nucleotides) under uncultured bacterium. RNAcentral's name for it is "bacterial SSU rRNA". It matches the Rfam family "Bacterial small subunit ribosomal RNA", at positions 10 to 694 of the family's 1533-position model. The record is from RNAcentral.
AGUUUGAUCCUGGCUCAGGAUGAACGCUGGCGGCGUGCUUAACACAUGCAAGUCGAGCGAUGAAGUUUCCUUCGGGAAACGGAUUAGCGGCGGACGGGUGAGUAACACGUGGGUAACCUGCCUCAUAGAGUGGAAUAGCCUUCCGAAAGGAAGAUUAAUACCGCAUAACGUUGAAAGAUGGCAUCAUCAUUCAACCAAAGGAGCAAUCCGCUAUGAGAUGGACCCGCGGCGCAUUAGCUAGUUGGUGGGGUAACGGCCUACCAAGGCGACGAUGCGUAGCCGACCUGAGAGGGUGAUCGGCCACAUUGGGACUGAGACACGGCCCAGACUCCUACGGGAGGCAGCAGUGGGGAAUAUUGCACAAUGGGGGAAACCCUGAUGCAGCAACGCCGCGUGAGUGAUGAAGGUUUUCGGAUCGUAAAGCUCUGUCUUUGGGGAAGAUAAUGACGGUACCCAAGGAGGAAGCCACGGCUAACUACGUGCCAGCAGCCGCGGUAAUACGUAGGUGGCGAGCGUUAUCCGGAUUUACUGGGCGUAAAGGGAGCGUAGGCGGAUGAUUAAGUGGGAUGUGAAAUACCCGGGCUCAACUUGGGUGCUGCAUUCCAAACUGGUUAUCUAGAGUGCAGGAGAGGAGAGUGGAAUUCCUAGUGUAGCGGUGAAAUGCGUAGA